Molecule: long non-coding RNA, 466 nt
Filed under: Sus scrofa (pig)
Lineage: Eukaryota; Metazoa; Chordata; Mammalia; Artiodactyla; Suidae
Description: lncRNA (ENSSSCG00040046510.1)
Source: RNAcentral
CUAGAAACCGGCGGAGAUGGUGAAAGAAGCUGAAGAGACACACAGGAACAGCCCUGAUUUUGAAAGCAACAAGGAAGACAACUCACCAAUGUCUUUUAAGAAAGAGUUUCUCUUAAGACACAACACGGAGAAAGAAGUAGAAGGAUGCUCUUCACGUGACGUUCACCCCAGAGAGAGAUCUUUAUGGGCGGGUCUAAGCCGUCUUCCCUUCCGGCGCCUCCUGGGCCCUUUCCCUGCCGUCGAAGGACCCGAGGACUUGAGCUGCUGGCUCUCACAGAUGCAAGGCACACGGAACCAUCUGCUGUCAGGAUUGUUUAAAAACACACAGAGAUUGCACCGUCGCUGCACAGCUUCUCUCAAGAACCUUAGCAAGAAUCAGAAAGCGGUUUCAGUUCCUGGUCCCUCGAUGCUGAGUCCACGCCUCUCCUCUGCCCUGACUGCUACGCUGCGGAUCAAACAGCCAUGA